GCAAGUCGAGCGGCAGCGACUUAACUGAACCUUCGGGGAACGUUAAGGGCGGCGAGCGGCGGACGGGUGAGUAAUGCCUGGGAAUAUGCCCUGAUGUGGGGGAUAACUAUUGGAAACGAUAGCUAAUACCGCAUAAUCUCUUCGGAGCAAAGAGGGGGACCUUCGGGCCUCUCGCGUCAGGAUUAGCCCAGGUGGGAUUAGCUUGUUGGUGAGGUAAUGGCUCACCAAGGCAACGAUCCCUAGCUGGUCUGAGAGGAUGAUCAGCCACACUGGAACUGAGACACGGUCCAGACUCCUACGGGAGGCAGCAGUGGGGAAUAUUGCACAAUGGGGGAAACCCUGAUGCAGCCAUGCCGCGUGUGUGAAGAAGGCCUUCGGGUUGUAAAGCACUUUCAGUAGGGAGGAAGGUAGUGUAGUUAACACCUGCAUUAUUUGACGUUACCUACAGAAGAAGCACCGGCUAACUCCGUGCCAGCAGCCGCGGUAAUACGGAGGGUGCGAGCGUUAAUCGGAAUUACUGGGCGUAAAGCGCAUGCAGGCGGCCUGUUAAGUCAGAUGUGAAAGCCCGGGGCUUAACCUCGGAAUUGCAUUUGAAACUGGCAGGCUAGAGUCUUGUAGAGGGGG
This 624-nucleotide ribosomal RNA is filed under the name Photobacterium damselae subsp. damselae. RNAcentral describes it as "bacterial SSU rRNA". It matches the Rfam family "Bacterial small subunit ribosomal RNA", at positions 57 to 660 of the family's 1533-position model. The record is from RNAcentral. Lineage: Bacteria; Pseudomonadati; Pseudomonadota; Gammaproteobacteria; Vibrionales; Vibrionaceae.